Molecule: transfer RNA, 70 nt
Filed under: Neofelis nebulosa (Clouded leopard)
Lineage: Eukaryota; Metazoa; Chordata; Mammalia; Carnivora; Felidae
Description: tRNA-Phe
Source: RNAcentral
GUUAAUGUAGCUUAAUAUACAAAGCAAAGGCACUGAAAAUGCCUAGAUGAGUCGCCAGACUCCAUAAACA